This is a non-coding RNA of Cinara cedri, 237 nucleotides long. Lineage: Eukaryota; Metazoa; Arthropoda; Insecta; Hemiptera; Aphididae. The record is from the annotation of a GenBank genome assembly.
UCAUAAUAUUGUAUUUAAAUUGUAAAAUGACCACUAGGAAACAGUUAUACAAGAUUUCUGUAUUUUCUAGAAAUAACACAACGAUCCACAGGAUGUUGAUAGCAGCCACACAAUAGCGGCCAACAACAUUGAAAUAUUACAACUAUUUAUAAGGUCACUUGCAACAAGUGUUUUUUAGACAACACAACUAUGGUGGUUGUGGCCUUUGGUUCUAAUACAACCAACAAAACUCAUCUA